Rhea pennata is the source of this 259-nucleotide long non-coding RNA. RefSeq lists it as uncharacterized. The record is from RefSeq and is a predicted model, not a curated record. Lineage: Eukaryota; Metazoa; Chordata; Aves; Rheiformes; Rheidae. The transcript is spliced from 3 exons.
CCGGCAGGUCUCGCGAGAGCCGAGCGAGGGGCGGGAAGGGGGAUUCCCUCUGCCCGGUGUCUGCCUGAGGAGGUGGUAGCAAGGGUUGUAGAAGAACUAUCAGCAUGACAAAAAAACCUAUGGAGAUACCUCUCAAAAUCAUGCUGUGGCUAAAGUACAUGAAAAAAAUCCAAAGUAGAGGAUCAUCGUGGACAAUUAAAUGAGACAUGAAAAAUCAUGUGAGGAAAGAAAAGAACAAAACAUUGUCUUCUUCAACAGC